CGCAAACAACUGCCAGCUCCUUUUAAAUGUAUUAGCAGAGCAGUAUAGGACUGGCCUCGGUUUGAUAAGAAAAUUUAUCUAUGCUGUCGCUGGGUUUUCCUCUUUGUGCUCAGCUUCAAAUUGUCUUCGGACUGUCUCUUUGAGGCAAAAAAACUCUAUUGAUCGACCUCAAAUCAGGUAGGACUACCCGCUGAACUUAA
RNAcentral lists this unclassified non-coding RNA (200 nucleotides) under soil metagenome. RNAcentral's name for it is "partial contains internal transcribed spacer 2 and large subunit ribosomal RNA". The record is from RNAcentral.